RNAcentral lists this non-coding RNA (53 nucleotides) under Pannonibacter phragmitetus. RNAcentral describes it as "sul1 RNA". It matches the Rfam family "sul1 RNA". Lineage: Bacteria; Pseudomonadati; Pseudomonadota; Alphaproteobacteria; Hyphomicrobiales; Stappiaceae. The record is from Rfam by way of RNAcentral.
GCAGGACUCGUUUGAUCGAGUGGCUAUCCCGAGCGCCGAUCCCUCGGGUUAAC